CAUUUACAAAAAGUUUUUGUUUAUUUCGCAAACAAAUUUAUCAUUCUAACUGUCGAUUUAACUAAACGAAAGUGUCCAAAAAAUAUUUUCGGUCGUUACUCUAAAAAUGUGAACUCGUGUUUGCUAAAAGUGUAAUAUCAAAUUCUUGCUUUAAAGACGGAAAAAGUCAGUAUAUUUUCAAGAAUAUCGCAUAAAAUUUUGAUCUAUUUCAAUUUUUUAAGUGCAUCUUCUUAGUUUUACUAAAUUUCUCUCCGUAUAACUCAUUUUUUUAACUAGCCUAAUUAUAAUUUUAUAGGUUAAAAUUUUGUUCUUUUUGCCAUAUACACUACGUUUGUGAAAGCCGGGCACGUGCAUUAUUUAGUCCUACGGAUAUUUUAUAUUUGUAAUAAUUUUUCGAGUAAAUGCACUCUUUCUUUCGCGUUCUUUCGUUAAAUAGUACUUUAUAUUAUGUAUUUUAUUAGGCGGUCGUGUGUUGUGAGUGUUUUUAACAGGGAAGUGUUUUGAGUGCAGCUUCUUGGGAAAAAAAUCGGGCACAGAAAAGCGCAAUUCAUUGCAGUCUAGAGAAUGAUGAAGGGCAAAGAUGUCUUCAGCAAGAUAGACCAUAAAGAGGAGUUUUAAAAGAGGGCUGAGAACGCUUCGACGUCGGAUUUCGAAAUCGAUAAACCUGACUAAAUGGAAUAAAAAAUCCGCUGUCAUUGAGAAUACUUGUAAGUGAAUUUGAUUAAAUUUUUUUUUGUUUACAAAUGAAAAAAGUUUUAAUAAGAAGACGAGAAUCUUUUAAAAUA
Molecule: long non-coding RNA, 785 nt
Organism: Leptopilina boulardi
Lineage: Eukaryota; Metazoa; Arthropoda; Insecta; Hymenoptera; Figitidae
Exons: 3
Source: RefSeq, a predicted model, not a curated record